RNAcentral lists this unclassified non-coding RNA (348 nucleotides) under soil metagenome. Its description in RNAcentral is "partial contains 5.8S ribosomal RNA, internal transcribed spacer 2, and large subunit ribosomal RNA". The stretch from base 1 to 120 matches the Rfam family "5.8S ribosomal RNA", at positions 35 to 154 of the family's 154-position model. The record is from RNAcentral.
GAUGAAGAACGUAGCGAAAUGCGAUAAGUAAUGUGAAUUGCAGAAUUCAGUGAAUCAUCGAAUCUUUGAACGCACAUUGCGCCCGCCAGUAUUCUGGCGGGCAUGCCUGUCUGAGCGUCAUUUCAACCCUCAUGCCCCUAGGGCGUGGUGUUGGGGAUCGGCCAAAGCCCGCGAGGGACGGCCGGCCCCUAAAUCUAGUGGCGGACCCGUCGUGGCCUCCUCUGCGAAGUAGUGAUAUUCCGCAUCGGAGAGCGAUGAGCCCCUGCCGUUAAACCCCCAACUUUCCAAGGUUGACCUCAGAUCAGGUAGGAGUACCCGCUGAACUUAAGCAUAUCAAUAAGCGGAGGA